CCUACGGGAGGCAGCAGUGAGGAAUAUUGGUCAAUGGACGAGAGUCUGAACCAGCCAAGUAGCGUGAAGGAUGACUGCCCUAUGGGUUGUAAACUUCUUUUAUAUGGGAAUAAAAUGUUCCACGUGUGGGAUUUUGUAUGUACCAUAUGAAUAAGGCUCGGCUAACUCCGUGCCAGCCGCCGCCGUAAUACGGAGGAUCCGAGCGUUAUCCGGAUUUAUUGGGUUUUAAGGGAGCGUAGGUGGAUUGUUAAGUCAGUUGUGAAAGUUUGCGGCUCAACCGUAAAAUUGCAGUUGAAACUGGCAGUCUUGAGUACAGUAGAGGUAGGCGGAAUUCGUGGUGUAGCGGUGAAAUGCUUAGAUAUCACGAAGAACUCCGAUUGCGAAGGCAGUUCACUGGACUGCAACUGACGCUGAGGCUCGAAAGUGUGGGUAUCAAACAGGAUUAGAUACCCGAGUAGUC
RNAcentral lists this ribosomal RNA (460 nucleotides) under uncultured bacterium. Its description in RNAcentral is "partial 16S ribosomal RNA". It matches the Rfam family "Bacterial small subunit ribosomal RNA", at positions 338 to 795 of the family's 1533-position model. The record is from RNAcentral.